Molecule: long non-coding RNA, 1556 nt
Organism: Hippocampus comes (tiger tail seahorse)
Lineage: Eukaryota; Metazoa; Chordata; Actinopteri; Syngnathiformes; Syngnathidae
Exons: 2
Source: RefSeq, a predicted model, not a curated record
CUUUUGAAUCUUGUUUUCUGGCUCUUUUUGGUUGUUUUUUUCCCCCCAACUAGUCUAAGUGAUGACUUUUCUUUUCAGCCUCAGUCUCUUCACUUCUUUUCAUCUGAAAUUUCCGACUCUUUUUCUGACUCCCCAUUUCUGACUUGUCCUUUCUAACUUUUCUUCAUACCUGAAAAGACAUCCUGCGUAUUAAAAUGUGACAGGGAAGUUGGAGGUUGUGUCGUUGAAGGUGUUAAAAGACACUUUUAGUUGACGGCAACAAUAAAAGGCAUGAUGGAGGAGGCGUGUUUCCAUGGCAACAGCCGGCGGCACGCCGCAGCAUCCGGUAAAAAUAGAACAAAACUCUUCCUUGCUCUUACAGUCAUGACGCGGAGCGGAUGUCUUUUCAAACAUGUCUGUCAUCUCUACACGCAUCUCUGUUUCCUUCUGAAAAUGACGAAUCACGAAGGUGACCGUGUUUCUGUUCAGGUUGUGUGAGGACAGCAGCGUGUGGUACCGCAACCACACCAACGAACUGUGCAGACGAGUCCAAAGAAUCUCCUUCUCUGCUACAGUGAAGCAGACGUGUUUGAUGAAGAUGUGCGUGCGGCCGUGAGCGGAGACGAUGCAACUCUUCAUUAUCAUCAUCGUCACAUGACUGAUGACAUCAAUUUUUUAAACUCUUCAGUUCUCCUUGUUCUUCAAUAAAAAGAAAAAAAGCUCUCAGUUUCAUGAUGUGCUUUUGGAACACACACACACGCACACACACGCGCGCAAUUCAGGAUUACUCACACAGUUUUUUUUCCUCUGACAUCCUACUUUUUGCAGUUUGGCAUGAUGCGUGAGAGGAUGUCACUCGCAUACUCUCAUUUGUACAUACAUGCACACUUGAGGGCUGGUAGCAACAAUGGAGUAUUCCCUCUCACAAUCCAGUGAAACUUUUUUUUUGCUCACACAAUAGUGACAUUCUUUAGCUCUCACACACUGCUUAAACAAUCCCAUGCGUGUGAAACUCUCACACAUACUACCAACAUUCUGGACCAGGAAGAAGAGGAAGCAAACAACCAGGAGCAGAUGGCCCACAAUACUUACACACCAUCACUAACUCAAAAAAAAUUGCUGUUUUUGAUGACCGGUGUGCAAAAAUGCGGACACUCAGUUACACUCAAGAAGACCUGGAAACUCGGGAGCACUUGAUGGAGAUUGGUGAAAACUUUAGACCUAGCGGAGAAUCUUGAGGACGUGAAUCACCCUGGGAACCAGCGCCCGACGAUAAUGAUUGAAAAGUGUGAUGCCAGGAGGAGGACUCGGAAGGAGGUGGAGGACGAAGAGGGAGAAGCAAAGUGAAAGCCAACAAGUGACUUUUGUUCCGUUCUGAAUGAAGUUGCCACUUGAAUAAAAGCAAUGACUUGAUUGUCGCCCCACUGAAGGCACCAAAGAAGAUGCACUUUGCCAAGCCAGAGUGUCAAGUGAACUUUAUUACUGGAACUUUGUCAUGAUUGAACAACAACAAAGCACAGAGUAACUUCCUUAAAGCGCUGACGCUCUACAGUCACAUAAACACAGCAAAAAAAAAA